AAACUUGUGGCUCAAGAAACCCUAAUUUAGGCAUCCCUUUAUCAUUGACCUUGCUUCACUUUUUAUCAUCCAAUCACCCCACCAUUCAUUCAACAUUAAUUCAUUUCCAUUACAAUCAAAAUCCAUAAUUUAAACAUCCAUUCAAUCAAUGUUACAAGUACUUGGUUUGGUCAUGGUUUUUCAACUUUCAAUGCAUUUGAGCCACCCAUGAACUUGACCUAAAAUUAUCCCAUAAAUAUACAAAUCUCAUUUACCAUCAUGGUAUGAUC
Molecule: long non-coding RNA, 269 nt
Filed under: Lathyrus oleraceus (garden pea)
Lineage: Eukaryota; Viridiplantae; Streptophyta; Magnoliopsida; Fabales; Fabaceae
Description: Pisum sativum (pea) long non-coding RNA (PSAT_LNC029805)
Source: RNAcentral